UACGUAGGGCGCAAGCGUUAUCCGGAAUUAUUGGGCGUAAAGAGCUCGUAGGCGGUUUGUUGCGUCGGCUGUGAAAUCCCGAGGCUCAACCUCGGGUCUGCAGUCGAUACGAGCAAACUAGAGUGUUGCAGGGGAGACUGGAAUUCCUGGUGUAGCGGUGAAAUGCGCAGAUAUCAGGAGGAACACCGGUGGCGAAGGCGGGUCUCUGGGCCGAAAUUGACGCUGAGGAGCGAAAGCGUGGGGAGCGAACAGG
This 253-nucleotide ribosomal RNA is filed under the name uncultured bacterium. Its description in RNAcentral is "partial 16S ribosomal RNA". It matches the Rfam family "Bacterial small subunit ribosomal RNA", at positions 524 to 776 of the family's 1533-position model. The record is from RNAcentral.